UUCAUUCAGACUUAAAACAUUUUAUUAAUUAUUUUCAUAAUUUUGUUUAAAAGAAAAUCCCACAUUCCAAGUUAAUGAGUGAUUUGGUGGGAGUGUAAGUGUUGUUACAUAGAUGCUGUGUUCACUAUGCAUGAUUCAUACAUAAUUCAAGGUUUAUUUGAUGUAGUAAAUAAAUAAAUGAUUUAUUGAUGUAUAGAUAAGAAUUUAAAUGUGAUGUAACAGGUAAAUUAACGUUAGGCCAUUGAUUGUGUUUUUAUGUUCCAUCCCGGAACUAACGUUCUCUGUUGUGUUACUGCUACGGAAUUUGUUAAUUGACUGUGUGCAAUCUAACUUAAGCAGAUCUUAGUCUGAGUCAUAAUUGUUGAUGGCAGAGGCUAAGAAAGACAGUAAAGGGACUUUCAAGGGACUUUAAGAAUUCAAGAACCUCUUUUCAGGACAAGCAGCCAACGAGUUCUCACGGCGUGACGUGGAUGCAUCGGAGAAAAAGACGUGCAAUGCAAUAAACGCCCGUUUCAA
Molecule: non-coding RNA, 516 nt
Organism: Salmo salar (Atlantic salmon)
Lineage: Eukaryota; Metazoa; Chordata; Actinopteri; Salmoniformes; Salmonidae
Source: RefSeq, a predicted model, not a curated record